AACGAACGCUGGCGGCAGGCCUAACACAUGCAAGUCGAACGAAACCUUCGGGUUUAGUGGCGCACGGGUGCGUAACACGUGGGAAUGUACCUCUUGGUGCGGAACAACGUUUGGAAACGAACGCUAAUACCGCAUAAUAUCUCCGGAUCAAAGAUUUAUCGCCAAGAGAUCAGCCCGCGCUUGAUUAGAUAGUUGGUGAGGUAAAAGCUCACCAAGUCGACGAUCAAUAGCUGUUCUGAGAGGAUGAUCAGCCACACUGGUACUGAGACACGGACCAGACUCCUACGGGAGGCAGCAGUGAGGAAUAUUGCGCAAUGGAGGAAACUCUGACGCAGCCAUGCCGCGUGAGUGAUGAAGGCCUUAGGGUUGUAAAGCUCUUUCAGAUGCGAAGAUAAUGACGGUAACAUCAGAAGAAGCUCCGGCUAAAUUCG
This 431-nucleotide ribosomal RNA is filed under the name uncultured Alphaproteobacteria bacterium. Its description in RNAcentral is "bacterial SSU rRNA". It matches the Rfam family "Bacterial small subunit ribosomal RNA", at positions 29 to 505 of the family's 1533-position model. The record is from RNAcentral. Lineage: Bacteria; Pseudomonadati; Pseudomonadota; Alphaproteobacteria.